Molecule: long non-coding RNA, 6955 nt
Filed under: Solanum tuberosum (potato)
Lineage: Eukaryota; Viridiplantae; Streptophyta; Magnoliopsida; Solanales; Solanaceae
Description: long non-coding RNA (STUB_LNC011385)
Source: RNAcentral
ACGUUUUAUACUGGUUGGGAUCCAAAAAUGGAUCUAACGUCCAAUCCCCUUGGGUUGCAAGGGUGUUCUCUUCUAUACUUUGUAACCUUUGAUGUGAGUACAAAGGCGAGUGUAAUUUUUCACUAUUAAAACUCAGAUUGUUUUCACUCUCUGUUUUCUUUUGAUACAAAGCCUUGCCAACAAUAUUUUUCUCUCUUCUCUUUUUUGUUUACACAGUAGAACUAGGUAAUACAAUUCUUGUUAAAAGUAGAGUAGAGAAUGUGAGAUGAUUCAAACUCGUUGUAUAUCUCUCCAAUGGUAGACGAUUUCUCUUUUAUAGUGCUUGAGACUUGAAUCUUUCCUUCGAAGAGAAGGCAACCCAAGAGAUUCGAUCCUUGAAAAAGAAGGCAGGGGUUCCUUAUUUUCCAAGAAUAAGGUCAAGGAAAAUCUUCAGUUUCCUUCUAUAUUUGGCCUUGAUUGACUUCUGAUCUCAGCUUCCUUGAUUGAGAUAUUGCCGUUGAAUUUUCCUUCCUUGAUUGUCUUUGUAUUUGCUUCCUAACUUGAUUUAUUGUUUUAGAUCAAUUUAGCCUUUGUGUCUUCUUCCUUGAUUGACGAACUUUUAUUGGUAAUCUUCAGUUUGUCCGUUUGUAUGCUUGAUUGAAUCUUUUCUGAUGUUUGUGAGAUCUCCAACUCCAUGAUAUCUGGAAUACUUAUAUUCCAAGUUUCAUUCUUGGUUCUUUCCUCUUUUGAUGUUGUGUUUUGACCUGUAAGAGUUAAUUGUUUAUCAUUAAAAUCUUGUUUUAAUAGUCUGCAUUACUCCCUUUGCUGUUAGAUUCUUUGACAGUAACAUUGGAAGGGUAAAAUUUAUUUACUAGUCUACCUAGUUUUACAUUUCCUAUUGAAAUUCUAAUAGUCUUGUUGUUAUCUAAACCUCUGGCUCUCCAAUUCAAUUUUUUUUGGUAAAUAUCUUUAGUUCAUGAAUAGUUUUUGAAAAUCACUUUUUUGUGGGUUUUUCGGAAACAACCUCUCUACCCCUCAAGACGUAAGGGUAAGGUCUACGUACAACCCCCUCCCCCCCCCUAGACCCCACUACUGGGAUCACACCGGGUAUGUUGUUGUUGUAUAUGUAGUUCAUAAACAAAGAAUGGUAGGUUGAUUAUGCAAUGCAUUUGAUUUCUCUUAUUGUGAGUCCAAUAUCAUAGGUAGGGGUGGGCAUAGUUGGGGAAAAUCCAAAUCUGUCUUAUUUUUUUUUUGGUUUGAAUUUUAAGUACAGAUUGGAUUGCAGAUUCAGUUGUUUAAAUAUUAAGAUUUCGGAUUGGAUUUCAAAUUUGGGAAUUUGGAUUUUUGGAUAUCCGAAAAUCUGAAACUUUUAUACCUUAUUUUUAGCAUGAGCCUAUUAUCCAUAUGCUUAUUACUAAUAAGUCCAACACCCUACUUACUAGUUAUUAGUUCAUAUAUCCAACUGUAAGUUUUAUGUCCUGCCAGAAUACUUUUUGUUUCGACAUAAUUUUACUAUAUAACAACAUACCCAUUGUAGUCUCACGCAGUGGGGUCUGGAUAGGAUAGAGUAUACAUAGACCUUACCUCUACCUUAGAGGUGAGGUAGAGAAGCUCUUUCUGAUAGACCCUUGGCUCAAGACUUCAACAUAAUUAUACUAUGUUGUACUUAAUAUUUUCAACCCUUUAUUUACUCUUUUCUAUUGCAUUUCCUGGAUAAUAUGGUACCAUUGCUUGCAUAAUAUUUUAUUUGGAUGAUAGUGGUGGGAAUUACUAAGACAUUUGAAUGGAAUUAAGCUCUCAACUUAUAUGCUCAAAAAAUCAAAAUAUCCAAGCUGAUUAGUUUGAACCUGAACUGAAGAAAUUUGAUCUAAUCCAAGGUUGUUUGGAUUGGAUUUGAAUUGUACUCUUCAAUUCCAAAACCUAAAAUCCUUACUAAAAUUUUAUAUCCACUCCGAAUUAUUGGAACUUCCAACCUUAGUCACAAGACAACUUGGUAUAAAGCCAAAAAGUGUAUUGAAGUAUCAAAAUAUUUUGUCAAAAUCUCUUUAUAUUGUUGAUUUUAGAAAUUCUGUUUAUAUAAAGAUGUUUAAUUAGUAUAUUACCAAAAUAGAGCACAGUUAUAAGGGGUAAUUUUACAAAGAGUCUUAUAACUAAUUGCAGUUAAAUUCAAUUGAACAUACAAUACUCCAUUUUCGAAUUACUUUGAGGAGAGCCAAUUUUUUUUAAAGAUCUCAACAAUCGAUCUAAGAUCUCAGUGACCGAGUAAAGAUCUCGGCGAUCAAUCAAAGAUCUUGGAGAUCGAUCCUUUUCUCGAGUAAGCGCAUAGGAAGUUACGAAUUAAGCUUUGAUUCUUGGAUUCACGUUCUUCUUACCGUUGCUAGGAUUUAAUAUUGUGCUAAAUAUCUUUAAAAUAAAUGGAGUUCAAUUUUUUUUUGCAAAAAGAGAAGUGCAAGUGAUUCCAAGUCUUUUUAUUGUUGUCAAAGUCACACUUAGUGUGCUUAAGCCAUGAGACGAGGUUCAAAACGUGUUGAGCACUGCACCUUACUUUAUGUGCGCUUCAGUGUCGUCAUCAAAGUUAAAUAUCCCCCUAAUCUAAUUUUGCCAAACACACAAGUUAACGGUCAUGUUUAUAUAUCAUGACAACUAGUUUAUGUACAAAACUCGCAAAAUUAUAUUAGGGGGACAUUUAACUUAUUCAUUCUAUACAAAAAUAAUCAGUGUUAUCAAAGGCGAAAAGCUCAAAAAGUUCUAAGGUACGUUGGGGCUUUAUGCGUGAAGCGCAAAUGAAGUGUGGGUUUUAAUGAAAAAAGGUGCAAAGGGAGAAAAAUGCAAAUAUAUAUAUGUUUAGUCCAAGACUAAUAAUUAUAAACAUGAAUGCCAAAUAUAUGACCAAAGAAACUGAAAUAAAACACAUUUUGAUAAAAGUGAAAUAUAAAUUGUUUAGAGUCACCUCUUUAGAAGAGGCUCAUUGGCAAUGAAAAGAAUGCUUUAGAACUUUGAUGACGACACUGGAGUGCACAUAAUGUAAGUUGGAAUGCUCAACACGUUUUGAGCCUCGUCACAAGGCUUAAGCACACUUUAAGCGCCCCUUUGACAACACUAAAGAAGACUUAGAAUCACUUAGACUUCUCUUUUUGCAUAAAUUCAAACUGAAUUUUAUUUUAAAAAACUUUAGGACAAUAUUAAACCCUACCAACGAUAAGAACAUGAAUCCAUGAAUCAUAGCUUAAUUGGGAACUUCCUAUGCGCUUAUCCGAGAAAAGGAUUAAUCGCCAAGAUCUUUGAUCGAUCGCCGAGAUCUUUAAUCGAUCGCUAAGAUCUUUGAUUGAUCGUUGAGAUCUUUGGAAUUUUUUGGCUCUCCUAAAAGUAAUUAGAAAUGGUGUUUUGUAUAUUCAAUUGAAUUCAACUACAAUUAGCUAUACGACUCUUUGUAAAAUUACCUCUUUUAACCUUGCUUCUUUGGUAAUAUACUAAUUAAACAUCUUUAUAUAAACCAAAUUUCUAAGAUCAACAACAUAAAGAGAGUUUAACCAAAUAUUUUGAUACUUCAAUACACUUUUUGGCUAUAUACCAAGUUGUCUUGUGACUAAGGUUGGAAGUUCGAAUAGUUUGGAGUGGAUAUAAAAAUUUCAAUUAGGAUUUUAGGUUUUUCGAUUGAAGAAUACAAUUCAAAUCCAAUCCGAACAACCUUGGAUUGGAUCAAAUUUCUUCAGUUCAGUGUCAAACUAAUCAGCUUGGAUAUUUUGAUUUUUUGAGCCUAUACGUUGAGAGCUUAACUCCAGUUGCGCGACCGCGCACCGACUCGGAAAUUGUUUAAGUCCUCUCUUCUCUUCGCGUUUCAAGAGGGAUGUUUCUUUCCUUUCCUAAUUUCAUAACCCUAACCCAUCACUAUUAACUUCCCUGAAAAGUCAUAUUUUAGGAGAUUCGAUAAACUAGACAAACGUUUAGCCUUUUGUUCUCUAACACUUCAAGAAGAAAGAUCUAAGGUUAAUUCUCAAGGUCCCUUUCUUAAGUUCUUCAUCAAAAUGUGUGUUUGAACAUUCCUUACUUCAUUUUGGAAAUCUUACGGAAAAUAUCUUCAUCACGAACACUUGUACAUAAUUAACUAAAGCUCAUACUUCAUCACAAACUCUUAUAGGAAAUUCUCAUAGAUUGAGGCAUGUCAAAAGACAGUGUCCUUAAGGAUAUUUCAUCCGGUAUAGGUGUAUCCCUUGGAUUCAAGAAGCUCUUCUAGUAUAAACUAGGAGCCAGAAACUAACAAAGAUUCAAUUGAAAGAAAACCCAACAUAAGAAUAUAUUAAAAGAAGAAUUGUUCUCUUUUCUUAUGUCACACACUAUAAGUAUAAGACUUAGAUUUAUAUAGGAAAAUCACUAACCUCUCUAAUGUAUCAAUGAUUGAAAUAGUCAAAACCCAUAAAGGCAUUGAAUUCCAUCAAUAAAUUGAAAGCCAGUCAUUUCAUCAAAGAGUCGUUGGCAACAACCAUACUAUGACAAAACUUAAUGGAUAAUUAAAGGAUAUUAAUAAUGGCAAUAUGAUAUUAUCUAUGGAGAGAAAAUAUUUAGGACAUAAAAUAAUAUUUUCUUUCAAGUAUAAUAAGAAAUAAAAUAAUUCAUUUUGAGAUACUUGAAUCACUUUUCCAACAAUCCCCUACAUAUCUCAAAAGAAAUCUUGAUCUGUGACAAAUUAUUGUAGUUUUGAUGAUUGACAAAUAGUCUUGAUGUGUGACAAAGUAUUGUUUAUCAUCAUCAAAAAGGGGGAAAUUGUUGGGAUGUAGGAGAACAUAUAAUGUUUGGAAGUAGUAGAACAUAUAAGUAGUUUUGAUGAUUGAUAAAGUGAACCUGGUUCACUACUUGUUGUGUUUUGUGUACUCUAUCAGGUGAACCAGGUUCCCAGAUGCGAAUGCAGAUAAUCUAUACAAAUAUGUCAGAUUGCGGGAAAGAAGAAAAAUAAUAAAGUGCAGAAAUAAAAGAGUGAAAAAAGAAAUAAAGAAAUAGCCGAAACAAAGAAGGAAAGAAGGAAAGAAAUAACGAAAUAACAAUACAGGUCGAAUAAGGAAAAAAGUAAAUAUAAACAAGUUCUAGGCAGAAAAGGAAAGAGGCAGACGAGUUUAAUAAGGACAAUGAUUAGUUUUCUAGGGAAUGAAAUUCCUUUCCUUGAAGAAGUUGAUAAAGGAAAAACAAAUUCUAUAAAAGGUUCAAGCCAAUUAAAGAAAAACUCAUCUUUGAAUAAACAGAAUUUUGAGAGAAUUUUCUAGCAAAGGUAGAACGGUACCUAUUAUAUAUUCAUGACAUCAUCUUGAGAGCAAUAGCCAUUGGAGCAAAACUGCAAAGUCUUCAUUAUAGCAUCACUGGAACCAGGUUCAUGAGUUGUGUUCGAGUAUAAACUAUUUGAAUGUUGAAGUCUUAUCAAUUAAAGUCUAGGGUUAUUAUACUUUAUUGAUUUGUUCUAGGUUUAUUAUUGAAUUGUAAUAAUUCCUAGAUUUGUAACAAGAAGUAGGUUUGGCUUGGAGAAUAGAGUAGAGAGAGAGUGUUGAGAGAAUUGUAACAAGAAGUGGGCUUGACUUUUUGGGGGUAGAGUUAAGAGAGAGUUUUGAGAGAAUUGUAACAAGAAGUGAGAUUGUUUGGAGAGUUGAGUCUUCUAUUAUAGGUAAUUGUUGAAAAGUAAAAGGUACUAGAGUUUCCUUUUGACUGUUACGUUGUAAUACUGAAAAGAAUGUGAAUUUUGAAGUGAAUAAGAUUGUGGUAUGGUUUUUACCUUCCUUGAGGAAGGAAGGUUUCCACGAUAAAAUCUCUAUUUUAUUAUGUCGCGUUUUGUUUGGCUCAACAGAAGUACAAGAACCUGGUAAUUUUAUAGGGGUAAGGUUUCUUCACAAAUCAUAUAUUCAAAUGAUAUCUACAAGUAAACCCCCUUAAAAUGUGGAAUUUGAAAAUUUAAAAAGUAAGAUACGUUACUUCUCGUUGACGGUUAAUAUCUACAAGUUACUUAACACAGUCAAAGUUGCGCCCAAGUGCACACUCGGGGUCUCACAGGUGCACGACCACGCACAGUUCUGAUGGGAUUAUUUAGCCAAGGUCGAUUUUGGAAAUAUCAUUUUUUACCCCUUGACCUAUAUAAUUACUGAUAUUGUCCUUAUAAGUGUUCAAAGAACAUCCAAGGAGAAACGAUUAGGAGAAAACUUCAUAACUCUAUGAACCUAAAACCAGAGUUUGUAUUCAGAUUUGGUUGUAAUAUUUUCAAUCCUUAUAACUCUGCACGUCGCAGAUGACAAGAUACCAUAUGAGAAGUCUUUUUCAAUUUAUAUACCGUGCAAAUCAAUUUACGAUAUGAGAACUCAUUGUCUGAUUACGUUAGAACAUCAACAAUAACAAAAUAGCCAUUGGUGUACCAUUAACAUAGUACUCCCUCCAUCCUAAUCAUCAUCUAUCAUAUAUAAUCAUUAUUAUUAUAAGUAGGAAGCCUCAAAGAUAAAAGUUUGAAAGACCAAUUUACCCAUCAAAUAUCAAAUAUUGAACCACAUUAAUCAUUUAAUACCUAAACAAUUCUCUUAAAAAAAUAUGUAAAGUAACGGAGGAAACUUGCCUCAAAAAAGCGAUAUACCUCGAACUUCCAGAAGGAGUACCAUGGUUCAAUCCCAACAAAAAUUUCACCCAGAACUCAAAACACCUCCACUGGAUUCACAUCUAGAUAAAAGGAAAUGUUAGACACAAAGCAGGAGGGAGACACACAAAGACAAGGGGACUUACCUUUGCGAACUGAUAUAACUUUGCAUACCAAGAUGGAGAACGUUGUUCACCCAAAGAAGGAGAAAGAGCAAAGAAGCUGAGAGAGGAGAUGGAAACAUGGAAGCGGCGGAUAUUUGGAAACUGUGAAAAACAGAGAAUGCUUAAGAAAACCCUAUUUUUAGGGAGUGGAUAAGGACAAGAUCUCAAACACUUAGAUUGCCUUUAUUUCCUUAGCUUUUGAGUAGUGGGUUUU